AUGUGGGAGAGUUCGUUGCGUUAUGCGCGGCGACGCCGAAGGAGCAACUCCUCCCCGAAAACCUCUCAGGCCACAAGGACCGCAUGG
RNAcentral lists this non-coding RNA (87 nucleotides) under uncultured Stackebrandtia sp. RNAcentral's name for it is "Glycine riboswitch". It matches the Rfam family "Glycine riboswitch aptamer", at positions 8 to 87 of the family's 94-position model. Rfam says of the family: This family represents the bacterial glycine riboswitch. Glycine riboswitches usually consist of two metabolite-binding aptamers domains with similar structures in tandem. The record is from RNAcentral. Lineage: Bacteria; Bacillati; Actinomycetota; Actinomycetes; Glycomycetales; Glycomycetaceae.